This 468-nucleotide ribosomal RNA is filed under the name uncultured bacterium. RNAcentral describes it as "partial 16S ribosomal RNA". It matches the Rfam family "Bacterial small subunit ribosomal RNA", at positions 28 to 507 of the family's 1533-position model. The record is from RNAcentral.
GACGAACGCUGGCGGCGUGCUUAACACAUGCAAGUCGAACGGAAAGGCCCUGCUUUUGUGGGGUGCUCGAGUGGCGAACGGGUGAGUAACACGUGAGUAACCUGCCCUUGACUUUGGGAUAACUUCAGGAAACUGGGGCUAAUACCGGAUAGGAGCUCCUGCUGCAUGGUGGGGGUUGGAAAGUUUCGGCGGUUGGGGAUGGACUCGCGGCUUAUCAGCUUGUUGGUGGGGUAGUGGCUUACCAAGGCUGGGACGGGUAGCCGGCCUGAGAGGGUGACCGGCCACACUGGGACUGAGAUACGGCCCAGACUCCUACGGGAGGCAGCAGUGGGGAAUAUUGCACAAUGGGCGGAAGCCUGAUGCAGCAACGCCGCGUGCGGGAUGACGGCCUUCGGGUUGUAAACCGCUUUCGCCUGUGACGAAGCGUGAGUGACGGUAAUGGGUAAAGAAGCACCGGCUAACUACGUG